Molecule: long non-coding RNA, 712 nt
Organism: Haliotis rubra (blacklip abalone)
Lineage: Eukaryota; Metazoa; Mollusca; Gastropoda; Lepetellida; Haliotidae
Exons: 2
Source: RefSeq, a predicted model, not a curated record
AACUCGCUCACUCAUGUUUUGCAAUUGUAGAUUAGAUAAUCGAUAAAACAAUGGAUGUUCUUAAUCGUAUAAACAGAGGCAAAGCCUUUUGCCAGUCGUGUGAAUUGCGAUAUGACGACCACCCUAUUUAUAGCGCGGAAGUUAUUAAUAGACAUGACACAUGUUUAUGUAAAGACCAGGAACAACCUGGUGUAGAUCACAUGCACGUCAACCUCCAAGAGUAGACAUGAUCUACAGAAUGCUGGUGGUUCUGCUGGGGCUAUACACAGGUGGGGAUGCUUCGGUACAACAUGCGGCAGGUCAAGGCCCCAGCAAGGGUUCACAAGGGUCAAGUAACCGGAUGUUUGGGAGGUGCAGACGGUGUCGGGUGCGCGAGGUCAACAUGGUGUUCCUGCCUUGCGGUCACAUGGUGUGUUGUGCCGAGUGUAGCGUCAUCUCCAGUACCUGUGACGUAUGUCACGCUCCAAUCAGGGGCAGUGUGAGGACAAGACACGUGAACACGUGAACUCUAAUACGUGAACUCUUAUAAUGUUUUUCAGGUGUUUAAAACAAUGUGAUAUAUAUGUUUUAUUUAAACAAGCAAUGCAUGAAGCAGUGAAUUUACAUUUUUUAACUCAAACGAACGGAAGAUUUCGCAUCACAUGGUCAAUUCUUAGAACUAUUAUGGUUUAAUAUGUUAAAGGCAACGAUCUGAUUAAAGUUCCAUACUACA